CUGGCAACAGCCAGGUAGGCUCAGCCCACUAUAAAAGAUCCACUAUGCUGGAGUAAUGGAGCAGGUCUUCCUCUAAAGAGCUGGCCCAUCUAAUCUCCCGCAGAAAGCCUCUCUGCAUUCCCAACCACGGUCUCCACCUCCAAGCCAAGCAGCCAUCCACCCACCUAGCCAAGUGAGAGCCACUCUUCUGUUUGACUUCAGAUGAAAAUAUAGAACCCUCAGCUCCUCCAGCUCCAUGACUACUUAGAUUCUGCUAUGCUUUCAGCCUUUAUGAUAAUGAAUCGAACCUCUGAACCUGUAAGCCAGCCCCAAUUAAAUGUCCUUAUAAGAA
Mastomys coucha (southern multimammate mouse) is the source of this 331-nucleotide long non-coding RNA. RefSeq lists it as uncharacterized. The transcript is spliced from 2 exons. The record is from RefSeq and is a predicted model, not a curated record. Lineage: Eukaryota; Metazoa; Chordata; Mammalia; Rodentia; Muridae.